This 605-nucleotide long non-coding RNA is filed under the name Ananas comosus (pineapple). RNAcentral's name for it is "long non-coding RNA (ACOM_LNC035383)". Lineage: Eukaryota; Viridiplantae; Streptophyta; Magnoliopsida; Poales; Bromeliaceae. The record is from RNAcentral.
AUUUUAAACUUGUUUAAGUAUUGUUGUUGAUCAUGUUUAUCAGAUUAAUUUUAAUUUUAAAGAUACUGUAGAACGCAGCGGAAGUAUUCGUUCGUACCUUUUUGCGGAAGCGAUUCGCGCAACAACGCGAUGAGCCUGGAUCGUUUAGAUUGAUUCACGUGUCCUCGGAUCGUCCUUGAAUAUCUUCUCACGCUCCACGAACUCGCGGUGGAUCGAACUACAAACGAGCGCGAUCACAAAUCCACCGUACAAGUCCCUCUAGAAUAAUAGGUCAAUGGAGGAUGUGGUUUCUCUCUAUUAUUUUCUUAUUCUCUCUCUUUUUCCGUUCUUUCGUGUAUAUAACGUUAUGUGGGAUCGCCCGCAUAUUUAUAAGGAAUUCCAAAAUCCUAAUGGCGUUAGAGAUAAGGCCAAAUCGGUUAUUAAUUGUUAUCCUAAUAUGACUAGGAUUUAUCUCUAACUAACUUUCCAAUUUGAAAGCGAGAUUAAUUCUAAUCCAAUUAGAUAACAUAACAUCCGUCGGAUCGAACCCGCUUAUGGGCGUACCCGAUUCGAUUUAACCGAAUGCCAACAGAUACUGAUCAUCAAAACUAAAGUACAGUUUAUGA